This 1381-nucleotide ribosomal RNA is filed under the name hypersaline lake metagenome. Its description in RNAcentral is "bacterial LSU rRNA". It matches the Rfam family "Bacterial large subunit ribosomal RNA", at positions 1588 to 2925 of the family's 2925-position model. The record is from RNAcentral.
AACUGGUUAAUCCCAUGCUGCCAAGAAAAGCCUCUAGCGAGUUGAUUUGGUGAUCGUACUGCAAACCGACACAGGUAGGCAGGGUGAGUAUCCUAAGGCGCUUGAGAGAACUCUGGUUAAGGAACUCGGCAUAAUGACACCGUAACUUUGGAAGAAGGUGUGCCUCCAUGUAGGUGAAGAAACUCGCUUUCGGAGCCGAGGGAGGUUGCAGAGAAAUGGGGGUAGCGACUGUUUACUAAAAACACAGGACUCUGCUAAAUCGUAAGACGAUGUAUAGGGUCUGACGCCUGCCCGGUGCUGGAAGGUUAAGGAGAGAUGUUAUCUUCUCCGAUUCGUCGGAGAGGAGAAGCUUUGAACUGAAGCCCCAGUAAACGGCGGCCGUAACUAUAACGGUCCUAAGGUAGCGAAAUUCCUUGUCGGGUAAGUUCCGACCUGCACGAAUGGCGUAACGACUUCCCCGCUGUCUCAACCAGGGACUCAGUGAAAUUGAAUUGACGGUGCAGAUGCCGUCUACCCGCGAAAAGACGGAAAGACCCCGUGCACCUUUACUACAGCUUGACAUUGGAUUUUGGAUUAGGAUGUGUAGGAUAGGUGGGAGGCUAUGAAAUCUCAACGCUAGUUGGGAUGGAGCCAACCUUGAAAUACCACCCUUCUUAAUUUAGGGUCCUAAUCUCAGUCCGUUAUCCGGAUUGGAAACAGUGUCUGGUGGGUAGUUUGGCUGGGGCGGUCGCCUCCUAAAGAGUAACGGAGGCGCGCGAAGGUUCCCUCAGGUUGAUUGGAAACCAACCGUAGAGUGUAAAGGCAUAAGGGAGCUUGACUGUAAGACCGACAGGUCGAACAGGUACGAAAGUAGGUCUUAGUGAUCCGGCGGUCCCUUGUGGAAGGGCCGUCGCUCAACGGAUAAAAGGUACGCCGGGGAUAACAGGCUUAUCGCCCCCAAGAGUUCACAUCGACGGGGCGGUUUGGCACCUCGAUGUCGGCUCAUCGCAUCCUGGGGCUGGAGCAGGUCCCAAGGGUUUGGCUGUUCGCCAAUUAAAGCGGUACGUGAGCUGGGUUUAGAACGUCGUGAGACAGUUCGGUCCCUAUCUUUCGUGGGCGUAGGAUAUUUGAGGGGAGCUGUCCUUAGUACGAGAGGACCGGGACGGACGAACCUCUAGUGUUCCAGUUGUCGUGCCAGCGGCACUGCUGGGUAGCUAUGUUCGGAAUGGAUAACCGCUGAAAGCAUCUAAGUGGGAAGCCAACCUCGAGAUCAGAUAUCCCUCUCCCGUGGAGACACGGGGGACUAAAGACCCCUUGAAGACUACAAGGUUGAUAGGCUAGAUGUGUAAGUGCAGUAAUGUACUGAGCUAACUAGUACUAAUAGGUCGUGCGGCUUGGCCAU